CUCGGAAUUGGGUGUCGGUAC
RNAcentral lists this non-coding RNA (21 nucleotides) under Arabidopsis thaliana (thale cress). Lineage: Eukaryota; Viridiplantae; Streptophyta; Magnoliopsida; Brassicales; Brassicaceae. The record is from RNAcentral.